AUCCAGCUGAACAGUCCCAAAUAGGACGAAAUGCGCGUUCUGGAU
Molecule: non-coding RNA, 45 nt
Filed under: Schistosoma margrebowiei
Lineage: Eukaryota; Metazoa; Platyhelminthes; Trematoda; Strigeidida; Schistosomatidae
Source: RNAcentral